Molecule: ribosomal RNA, 239 nt
Filed under: uncultured bacterium
Lineage: Bacteria
Description: partial 16S ribosomal RNA
Rfam family: Bacterial small subunit ribosomal RNA
Source: RNAcentral
UACGGGGGGGCAAGCGUUGUUCGGAAUUACUGGGCGUAAAGGGCUCGUAGGCGGCCAACUAAGUCAGACGUGAAAUCCCUCGGCUUAACCGGGGAACUGCAUCUGAUACUGGAUGGCUUGAGUUCGGGAGAGGGAUGCGGAAUUCCAGGUGUAGCGGUGAAAUGCGUAGAUAUCUGGAGGAAUACCGGUGGCGAAGGCGGCAUCCUGGACCGACAUUGACGCUGAGGAGCGAAAAGCUA